RNAcentral lists this ribosomal RNA (394 nucleotides) under uncultured bacterium. RNAcentral describes it as "bacterial SSU rRNA". It matches the Rfam family "Bacterial small subunit ribosomal RNA", at positions 30 to 428 of the family's 1533-position model. The record is from RNAcentral.
AUUGAACGCUGGCGGCAUGCCUUACACAUGCAAGUCGAACGGCAGCACGGGAGCAAUCCUGGUGGCGAGUGGCGAACGGGUGAGUAAUAUAUCGGAACGUGCCCAGUCGUGGGGAUAACGUAGCGAAAGCUACGCUAAUACCGCAUACGAUCUAUGGAUGAAAGCGGGGGAUCGCAAGACCUCGCGCGAUUGGAGCGGCCGAUAUCAGAUUAGGUAGUUGGUGAGGUAAAGGCUCACCAAGCCGACGAUCUGUAGCUGGUCUGAGAGGACGACCAGCCACACUGGGACUGAGACACGGCCCAGACUCCUACGGGAGGCAGCAGUGGGGAAUUUUGGACAAUGGGCGCAAGCCUGAUCCAGCAAUGCCGCGUGCAGGAUGAAGGCCUCGGUGUAA